CAGCAGCCGCGGUAAUACGUAGGGUGCGAGCGUUAAUCGGAUUUACUGGGCGUAAAGCGUGCGCAGGCGGCCCGUUAAGACAGGUGUGAAAUCCCUGGGCUCAACCUAGGAAUUGCGCUUGUGACUGGCGGGCUCGAGUACGGUAGAGGGGGGUGGAAUUCCUGGUGUAGCAGUGAAAUGCGUAGAGAUCAGGAGGAACACCGAUGGCGAAGGCAGCCCCCUGGGCCUGUACUGACGCUCAUGCACGAAAGCGUGGGGAGCAAACAGGAUUAGAUACCCUGGUAGUCCACGCCCUAAACGAUGGGUACUAGCCGUUUGGUGCGCGAUAGCGCUGAGUGGCGAAGCUAACGCGUGAAGUACCCCGCCUGGGGAGUACGGCCGCAAGGUUGAAACUUAAAGGAAUUGGGGG
Molecule: ribosomal RNA, 409 nt
Filed under: uncultured microorganism
Description: bacterial SSU rRNA
Rfam family: Bacterial small subunit ribosomal RNA
Source: RNAcentral